CCGCGUGAGUGAUGAAGGUUUUCGGAUCGUAAAGCUCUGUUGUUAGGGAAGAACAAGUACCGUUCAAAUAGGGCGGUACCUUGACGGUACCUAACCAGAAAGCCACGGCUAACUACGUGCCAGCAGCCGCGGUAAUACGUAGGUGGCAAGCGUUGUCCGGAAUUAUUGGGCGUAAAGGGCUCGCAGGCGGUUUCUUAAGUCUGAUGUGAAAGCCCCCGGCUUAACCGGGGAGGGUCAUUGGAAACUGGGGAACUUGAGUGCAGAAGAGGAGAGUGGAAUUCCACGUGUAGCGGUGAAAUGCGUAGAGAUGUGGAGGAACACCAGUGGCGAAGGCGACUCUCUGGUCUGUAACUGACGCUGAGGAGCGAAAGCGUGGGGAGCGAACAGGAUUAGAUACCCUGGUAGUCCACGCCGUAAACGAUGAGUGCUAAGUGUUAGGGGGUUUCCGCCCCUUAGUGCUGCAGCUAACGCAUUAAGCACUCCGCCUGGGGAGUACGGUCGCAAGACUGAAACUCAAAGGAAUUGACGGGGGCCCGCACAAGCGGUGGAGCAUGUGGUUUAAUUCGAAGCAACGCGAAGAACCUUACCAGGUCUUGACAUCCUCUGACAAUCCUAGA
RNAcentral lists this ribosomal RNA (617 nucleotides) under Bacillus subtilis. RNAcentral's name for it is "bacterial SSU rRNA". It matches the Rfam family "Bacterial small subunit ribosomal RNA", at positions 397 to 1004 of the family's 1533-position model. The record is from RNAcentral. Lineage: Bacteria; Bacillati; Bacillota; Bacilli; Caryophanales; Bacillaceae.